Molecule: ribosomal RNA, 332 nt
Filed under: uncultured Treponema sp.
Lineage: Bacteria; Pseudomonadati; Spirochaetota; Spirochaetia; Treponematales; Treponemataceae
Description: bacterial SSU rRNA
Rfam family: Bacterial small subunit ribosomal RNA
Source: RNAcentral
AAGCAUGCAAGUCGAACGGCAAGAUUUGUGCUUGCACAAAUCCUAGAGUGGCGGACUGGUGAGUAACACGUGGGUGACAUACCCUUCAGUUGGGGAUAGCUAUUAGAAAUAGUAGAUAAUACCGAAUACGACCGUAGUAGUUAGAGGACUACGAGGAAAGUAGCUAAGGCUAUGCUGAAGGAUUGGCCCGCGGCCCAUUAGCUAGUUGGAGUGGUAAAGGCAUACCAAGGCGAUGAUGGGUAUCCGGCCUGAGAGGGUGAUCGGACACAUUGGGACUGAGAUACGGCCCAGACUCCUACGGGAGGCAGCAGCUAAGAAUAUUCCGCAAUGGA